UAAAAACAAAAUCCAAUUAAGGGAAAGGGGACGCUGUUGCCUGUAAUUUGAAUUACUCAAUUUACACGUGGCGCUUUAUAUCAACAAAAUUAUGCCGAAAUGCGCACAGGGGGCGCUAUUGAAAGGAGUCGAAGUUUUUGCAAAGUACAAAUGAAAGUCGUGUAAAUACUUCGAUCAACAAUAAACAAAUAAUCAGAAAUAGAACUCAAAGAAAUAGUCAGAAUAUUCUGGCCUGGGAACCAGACUACCACGAUGUACGUGCAAACACGCCGCUGUACUCUGGCUGGGACUUCACGCAGUCUGGCCUUUUUCUGUACCUCCGUCAGGCCGCCGCCGAGGACAUAUUUACUUUGUGCUUCAAACUUCUACUUCUCUGCAGCUAGCUACAUCUUUACAUCCUUUUCAGCAACUUACUGAGUGCUGGGUGAGUCUUCUGCACCAGCUUGGCGAGUGUAAAUUGUUGUGAGCUACAAUUUACAAAAACUAGUCUCGAAAGGAUUAACUCCGGGUAAAGAGUGGCCUCACCACCGACCACCGAAUCGGCACGGCUUCCUCCCGGGACAGCAGGCCCAGCGGAGUCUGCAUGACGAGCCUGCUGAGACCGCACUUCAAUUCAGCAAAUCAAGUGAUGCACGGGAAAACCAAUGAACUGAGUUUUGACUGGUCACUUGAACUGGAACUUAGUUGCCCCAUGAGUUUGCUUGCCACGGGUUCAUUUCAUCAUGAACUUGAAUUUAAAUGAACUGCAAAGAUCGAGUUUAGACUUUUGUGACAAUUUGGAGGUUUGCUGCUUGACUUGAGAAAAAUCUGCAUGCAGUCUACAUGUGAAUAAAAAUAUAGGUGCUAUAUGAAAUGUCAGUGGCAGUCAACUGUGAGGAAGCCAAGAAACCUGUCUGC
Long non-coding RNA from Patiria miniata (bat star), 897 nucleotides. RefSeq lists it as uncharacterized. The transcript is spliced from 2 exons. Lineage: Eukaryota; Metazoa; Echinodermata; Asteroidea; Valvatida; Asterinidae. The record is from RefSeq and is a predicted model, not a curated record.